GACGAACGCUGGCGGCGUGCUUAACACAUGCAAGUCGAACGCUGAAGCUUGGUGCUUGCACUGGGUGGAUAAGUGGCGAACGGGUGAGUAAUACGUGAGUAACCUGCCCUUGACUCUGGGAUAAGCCUGGGAAACUGGGUCUAAUACUGGAUACGACAUGUCACCGCAUGGUGGUGUGUGGAAAGGGUUUUACUGGUUUUGGAUGGGCUCACGGCCUAUCAGCUUGUUGGUGGGGUAAUGGCUCACCAAGGCGACGACGGGUAGCCGGCCUGAGAGGGUGACCGGCCACACUGGGACUGAGACACGGCCCAGACUCCUACGGGAGGCAGCAGUGGGGAAUAUUGCACAAUGGGCGAAAGCCUGAUGCAGCGACGCCGCGUGAGGGAUGACGGCCUUCGGGUUGUAAACCUCUUUCAGCACGGAAGAAGCGAAAGUGACGGUACGUGCAGAAGAAGCGCCGGCUAACUACGUG
Molecule: ribosomal RNA, 472 nt
Filed under: uncultured bacterium
Lineage: Bacteria
Description: partial 16S ribosomal RNA
Rfam family: Bacterial small subunit ribosomal RNA
Source: RNAcentral